This 85-nucleotide transfer RNA is filed under the name Bordetella pertussis. RNAcentral describes it as "tRNA-SeC(tca)". The record is from RNAcentral. Lineage: Bacteria; Pseudomonadati; Pseudomonadota; Betaproteobacteria; Burkholderiales; Alcaligenaceae.
UGGCACCGUCCGCGGGGAUGCGCACACGGUCUUCAAUGCCGUGCUGGUCGACGUAUGCCUUCAGUUCGUCACGGGUCAGUGCCAU